Long non-coding RNA from Lingula anatina, 329 nucleotides. NCBI's taxonomy places the organism in Eukaryota, Metazoa, Brachiopoda, Lingulata, Lingulida, Lingulidae. The record is from RefSeq and is a predicted model, not a curated record.
UUUCCAAGGCCUCACCCUGGAAGUCAUCGGCUCGUGUGGCUUUGGUCUCGAGAUUAACUCAGUGCGAGAUAACACGUCACCAUUUCUGGCAGCAUGUCGUAAAGCGUUCAGUGCGUCACUGAUGAUGAUGACGCCAAUGUUAAUUUCCGAACUUUUUCCAUCGUUGACCGGUCUAGCCAAGGUGUUGAACAAAUAUCUGACGAGAAGGAGGGUGCGUGACAUUAACGUUCUGGUCAGCGCUGCCGUACAGUCCAGAUUAAAUGAUCCAAAGUCUCGACGGGUGGAUCUCCUGCAGCUAAUGUUGGACGCCAAAACUGACAAUCUGGACU